AGAGUUUGAUCCUGGCUCAGAUUGAACGCUGGCGGCGUGCUUUACACAUGCAAGUCGAACGGCAGCAUAACUUUCGGGUUGAUGGCGAGUGGCGAACGGGUGAGUAAUACAUCGGAACAUGCCAUGUAGUUGGGGAUAACUCAUCGAAAGAUGAGCUAAUACCGGAUAUACUCUUCGGAGGAAAGCUGGGGACUAGAAAUGGCCUGGCGCUAUAUGAGUGGCCGAUGGACGAUUAGCUAGUUGGUGGGGUAAGAGCUUACCAAGGCGAUGAUCGAUAGCUGUUCUGAGAGGAAGAUCAGCCACACUGGGACUGAGACACGGCCCAGACUCCUACGGGAGGCAGCAGUGGGGAAUUUUGGACAAUGGGGGGAACCCUGAUCCAGCAACGCCGCGUGAAUGAAGAAGGCCUUAGGGUUGUAAAGUUCUUUUAUCUGGGGGCAAAGCUUAUGUGUGAAUAGCAUAUAAGGAUGAGAGUACCAGAGGAAUAAGCACCGGCUAACUACGUGCCAGCAGCCGCGGUAAUACGUAGGGUGCGAGCGUUAAUCGGAAUAAUUGGGCGUAAAGGGUGCGUAGGCGGAUAUAUAAGUUAGAUGUGAAAAGCCUGGGCUUAACCUAGGUCGUGCAUUUAAGACUGUAAAUCUAGAGUUUGUGAGAGGGGUGUAGAAUUCCAAGUGUAGCAGUGAAAUGCGUAGAGAUUUGGAGGAAUACCGAUGGCGAAGGCAGCGCCCUGGCAUAGAACUGACGCUGAGGCACGAAAGCGUGGGUAGCAAACAGGAUUAGAUACCCUGGUAGUCCACGCCCUAAACGAUGUUUACUUGCUGUUGGGGGUAACCUAAGUAGCGAAGCUAACGCGAGAAGUAAACCGCCUGGGGAGUACGGUCGCAAGAUUAAAACUCAAAGGAAUUGACGGGGACCCGCACAAGCGGUGGAUGAUGUGGAUUAAUUCGAUGCACGCCGAAGAACCUUACCUGCUUUUGAC
This 979-nucleotide ribosomal RNA is filed under the name uncultured bacterium. RNAcentral's name for it is "bacterial SSU rRNA". It matches the Rfam family "Bacterial small subunit ribosomal RNA", at positions 8 to 985 of the family's 1533-position model. The record is from RNAcentral.